GGUGCUGUGGUCUAGUGGUAUGACGUCACGUUGUGGCCGUGCCGGCCCCGGUUCGAUUCCGGGCAGCGCCA
Molecule: transfer RNA, 71 nt
Filed under: Monascus purpureus
Lineage: Eukaryota; Fungi; Ascomycota; Eurotiomycetes; Eurotiales; Aspergillaceae
Rfam family: tRNA
About the family: Transfer RNA (tRNA) molecules are approximately 80 nucleotides in length.
Source: Rfam by way of RNAcentral